GGGUCCACCUGUGGUAAUCCACGGGGCUCUCCCCAUCUCAAGAUCCUAAGCGUAAUACAUCUUCUAAGUCUCUUUUGCCGUGAAUUAAUAGACUGCCCACUUCCAGUAUACACAUUUCUCCUAAUAGAUGAAGGAGUAUGAAGGAGUAAAAGAGAAGAGCUCACAUACAUAUUUUCCAGUUUACUCAAACAAAUACUCAAGUUUCUUGGCUGCAGCCACCAGCAGAAACCAGGAAGAGGAAAGGAAGAAUCUUACCCAGGGCCUCUGAAGGAACGUGGCCCUGCUGAUACCCUGAUUUCAUACUUACAGCCUUUAGAACUGUGGGAGGGUGAACUCCUGCCAUUUUAAGCCACUCCAUUUGUGCUUUCUUAUGGCAGCCCUAGGAGACUAAUAGAACACUUGAGAAGUAUUUGUUGAAUAAAGAUUGUCUAUUGUUU
Bos taurus (domestic cattle) is the source of this 437-nucleotide long non-coding RNA. The record is from Ensembl. NCBI's taxonomy places the organism in Eukaryota, Metazoa, Chordata, Mammalia, Artiodactyla, Bovidae.